RNAcentral lists this long non-coding RNA (224 nucleotides) under Gossypium barbadense (sea-island cotton). RNAcentral's name for it is "long non-coding RNA (GBAR_LNC022394)". Lineage: Eukaryota; Viridiplantae; Streptophyta; Magnoliopsida; Malvales; Malvaceae. The record is from RNAcentral.
AACAACAUUAAUGCCAACUUACUAUCAAGACAACCAUACCCAAUAACACAAAUCCCUUAUACUAUAUGUAGAACAUAUUCAACAAAUGUAAAACCAAUAAUAACAUAACAAUUCUAGCAAUUCAACAUUUCUUAAUAGCAAUGGUUCGAACAACAUUAACACUUACAACAAUGACAAUUAUACACAAAAGCACAAGUUUCAUACCAUAAGUAAAACAUACUUAA